GAUUUCGGAACGCGAACAAAAUUAUCGGAUUGUCGGUUUGUCGGAUCGGGAAAAUUAUUUCCUCAGAUUUCCCAGAUUGUGUCGUCGACAAGCUGGAAAGGGCCUCAACGAGCCUUUGAACCAACGCUCCCGGAGCGGGACAGCAGAUUAGUCUGGUCGGAAAUUUUUCAGUGUCGGCGAAUGCGCUCGAGCUCCUCAACCUCCCUCGAUUUCGGAUAUUGGACAACGUCGGAAGACAUUGUGACGAAAGCUG
Uranotaenia lowii is the source of this 253-nucleotide long non-coding RNA. RefSeq lists it as uncharacterized. The transcript is spliced from 3 exons. The record is from RefSeq and is a predicted model, not a curated record. Lineage: Eukaryota; Metazoa; Arthropoda; Insecta; Diptera; Culicidae.